Molecule: ribosomal RNA, 460 nt
Filed under: uncultured bacterium
Lineage: Bacteria
Description: partial 16S ribosomal RNA
Rfam family: Bacterial small subunit ribosomal RNA
Source: RNAcentral
CCUACGGGAGGCAGCAGUGAGGAAUAUUGGUCAAUGGGCGCGAGCCUGAACCAGCCAAGUAGCGUGAAGGAUGACUGCCCUACGGGUUGUAAACUUCUUUUAUAAAGGGAUAAAGUGAGGCACGUGUGCCUUUUUGUAUGUACUUUAUGAAUAAGGAUCGGCUAACUCCGUGCCAGCAGCCGCGGUAAUACGGAGGAUCCGAGCGUUAUCCGGAUUUAUUGGGUUUAAAGGGAGCGUAGAUGGGUUGUUAAGUCAGUGGUGAAAGUUUGCGGCUCAACCGUAAAAUUGCAAUUGAUACUGGCAGCCUUGAGUACGGUUGAGGUAGGCGGAAUUCGUGGGGUAGCGGUGAAAUGCUUAGAUAUCACGAAGAACUCCGAUUGCGAAGGCAGCUUACUAAGCUGCCACUGACAUUGAUGCUCGAAAGUGUGGGUAUCAAACAGGAUUAGAUACCCGAGUAGUC